UACGUAGGGGGCAAGCGUUGUCCGGAUUUAUUGGGCGUAAAGAGCGUGUAGGCGGUUGGGUAGGUCCGUUGUGAAAACUCGAGGCUCAACCUCGAGACGCCGAUGGAAACCCCCCAGCUAGAGUCCGGAAGAGGAGAGUGGAAUUCCUGGUGUAGCGGUGAAAUGCGCAGAUAUCAGGAGGAACACCGAUGGCGAAGGCAGAUCUCUGGGCCGUAACUGACGCUGAGGAGCGAAAGCGUGGGGAGCGAACAGG
This 253-nucleotide ribosomal RNA is filed under the name uncultured bacterium. Its description in RNAcentral is "partial 16S ribosomal RNA". It matches the Rfam family "Bacterial small subunit ribosomal RNA", at positions 524 to 776 of the family's 1533-position model. The record is from RNAcentral.